This 208-nucleotide ribosomal RNA is filed under the name Klebsiella pneumoniae. RNAcentral's name for it is "partial 16S ribosomal RNA". It matches the Rfam family "Bacterial small subunit ribosomal RNA", at positions 432 to 632 of the family's 1533-position model. Lineage: Bacteria; Pseudomonadati; Pseudomonadota; Gammaproteobacteria; Enterobacterales; Enterobacteriaceae. The record is from RNAcentral.
ACUUUCAGCGGGGAGGAAGGCGUUAAGGUUAAUAACCUUGGCGAUUGACGUUACCCGCAGAAGAAGCACCGGCUAACUCCGUGCCAGCAGCCGCGGUAAUACGGAGGGUGCAAGCGUUAAUCGGAAUUACUGGGCGUAAAGCGCACGCAGGCGGUCUGUCAAGUCGGAUGUGAAAUCCCCGGGCUCAACCUGGGAACUGCAUUCGAAA